This 322-nucleotide ribosomal RNA is filed under the name uncultured Enterobacteriaceae bacterium. RNAcentral's name for it is "bacterial SSU rRNA". It matches the Rfam family "Bacterial small subunit ribosomal RNA", at positions 355 to 659 of the family's 1533-position model. Lineage: Bacteria; Pseudomonadati; Pseudomonadota; Gammaproteobacteria; Enterobacterales; Enterobacteriaceae. The record is from RNAcentral.
UGGGAAGUAUUGCACAAUGGCGCAAGCCUGACUGCAGCCAUGCCGCGCUGUAUGAAGAAGGCCAAUUCGGGGCUUUGGUUAAAGAUACUUUCAGCGAGGAGGAAGGCGUCGUACUUAAUACGUGCGGCGAUUGACGUUACUCGCAGAAGAAGCACCGGCUAACUCCGUGCCAGCAGCCGCGGUAAUACGGAGGGUGCAAGCGUUAAUCGGAAUUACUGGGCGUAAAGCGCACGCAGGCGGUCUGUCAUGUCGGAUGUGAAAUCCCCCGGGCUCAACCUGGGAACUGCAUUCGAAACGGGCAGACUAGAGUCUUGUAGAGGGG